This is a long non-coding RNA of Phragmites australis (common reed), 2145 nucleotides long. RefSeq lists it as uncharacterized. Lineage: Eukaryota; Viridiplantae; Streptophyta; Magnoliopsida; Poales; Poaceae. The record is from RefSeq and is a predicted model, not a curated record. The transcript has 3 exons.
CCCGUCACCUCCCCCUCCCCCCAGCUCCUCGCCUUCGGCUCUCGCAUCCACAAACUCAACGCUCCGCUCCUCGCCUCUAAGCUCGCCAAGCUCCUCAUGAUCUCCUCCUCUCGCUCUCUGCCCGUCACCAAGAUCGCAUCCGCCAAGCGCAACUUCGGCCUCCUGGACGACUUCCUGGUCUCGUUGGUCCCGAGGUACCCCCACUUCUUCUGCCUCGUCGGCGACCCCGGGCCCGACGGGUCCGGGAACGUGUUCCUCGAUCUGGUAUCUUGGGAUGUGUCUCCGUUUGGGUUCUUCAGGACUCUUCACCCUUCUCUCCUUUUAGAUUUUUGUUCAAAGAUUAGGUUGGAAUUUGUAUUUAGAUUAGGUUCAAAGAUUAGGUUGAAACUUGGAACGAAGAAGAGCUGCUGCAGAUUUGAUGAUAAUGAUAGUUCACGAAACCAAGAUAUGUUUCAUGAAUCAAGAUAGGCCAGGUAGCUAAAGACAUGAAUGCAUGCUCAACAAUUUUCUUUCCUUUUGUUUUGCAACUGUUUACAGGAAUAUUAUGAUCUAAACCGUUCAAUGCUGGAGUUAGUCUUUGCUCCUGCAGAGGAAUGGGUUGGACGAAGUGAAACUGAAAUCACCGAGAGGAAGAAAUGAGCAACAAAGAAGAAGGGACAGCAGCAGCAGCACCGUCUCAUUAGCAUCUCAAGCACUUUAUUUCACUCAGGUUUGUACCAAAAAUCAAGUUUUAUUUAUUUAUCAAACAAAUUAUAAAGCAUUGCACGAAAUGAAAAUUGACAUGUGAUAAGUCAUACAAUUGGAUCCGAGACAAUUCAAAUAGAACAGAUUGGUUAUUGGAAUUCUGAAUUAGACAAAAAUCUGUAAAGCUAUAAGCAUUGAAAAAUAAUGUAUGGAUACUCGUUAAGGCUUAAGCGGAUAGUUUGCGUUCCAUGUAAUUGAUGUCCUAUUUUUGAGAUAUAUUGUUUCAAUUUUUCUUCAAAAACAGGAAAAUGCAAUAAUGAGUAGCUGAUUAGAUAGCAUAUUAGCUCUGUAGCAAGGCACUUCAUCAUAAAAUACAAUUUUCAUGUGGCGACACAGAAUUAAAUUGUUGAGUAUAUAGCAAGACAGAGAGUUAAUGCGCAUGACAUACUGUGCUGUCACUGAGAAUAAAUCGCAUGUAGCGAGUGCCGAAGUUGUCUUGCUGCAUGUGUGAUUUGGACAUCACCAGAGCACACACCUUCCAACAAGUCUGAAAGAUGUGCUCCAUCUGAACCUAAUGGAGCUCCAAUGACCUGCGUGGCAAGCAAAACAAACAACUACCGAAAAUAAAAAGAGCAAGAAAUUCUGGCUUGCCUAUUUGACAAGAAUGUGCUUGUUUCAAGCUGAUCAAGUUCAUGCUGAACGGAUGGUGUGAUUUGCACCCUCUUGGAGGAUUGUGGACGAUAAGUGAUCCCCAUCACAAGGCAAAGUAAAUUGUUGCACCAGAUUGGCCAAUGCACAAAAAGUUGGGCCGACGGAGUACGAGCUGCUUCACAGCAUCAUGAUGAACUGGAAAUUAACAAUGCCCUUGAAAAAAUAUUAGAAAGCUGAAUUGCUCCAAUAGCCUAGUAUCAGUCUUUAGAUUAUCGAAACUUGGUAGGGUAGACAUAGUUUGUCAGAAAUCGUGUAUGAAGAAAUCAGAGCAAAAGUAACAAUAGAAUAUUACAAACACCAAUUGGUAUAACAGAAUUACUUGGCUAGGCAUUAGACAAAAAUUCACAUGUACAUCUAUGAAAUUACUUGGUGCAAAUCUUAGUUGAGUUUAGUGAUUAAACUUAUGAUUUCAGACAUUCCAGAAGAAAAUGAAAUCCCUUUCGGAAAAUCAGUGGAGUAUUCUGGAUUAAUCUUGACGAUCUCAUCAGUUACUUUGUGGAUGAGCAGAUUAACUUCUUGCAGUUGCGGGGUUAAAGGAAGUUCCAAUGAGAGUGGAACAAAGCUUAGACCAUCCUUAUUAGGAUAUAUGGGUAAUGCUCCUCUCUGUAAGCAAGGUGUUAAAAAACAAUGAUGAUCUAGGAGAGAUCCAAGACUUAGUGGUUAAUACUUAAUAUUCAGUAACACUUGGUCAGAAGCUUGCCUUUGCAAAGUCUUCCUUGCGGAUCAGAAAAAAUUAUUCUCUUACAUACU